UUUUAAGAUUUUAGAAAAGGAAAUAACAGCGUGAAUGAUCAAAAAUUCCGGCGCAGCAAAUGCAUGGCGAAAACGACUUUGGGGUUUAGUCACCGUCAGAUCAAUUUUAAAGAAUGCUCUGAAAAAUUGUUUAUUCUAGAGCAGAAAUGCAAAAAAAAAAAAAAACCACACAAAAACACAAAAAAAACAAAAACAAAUGAAAACCCAUCGAAAGCGACCUGUAAAGGGUUUCCAACAAGGCACUAGCACUUUGUUGGUGUCUCUGCGCAGGGUCUGGCACUAUAUGGGGGGAGUUCGACUUCUUGUCCAGUCCCUUUACAGCACUUGCCCGACUCCGAGUAACUGACGGAUAAACAUCGUCGCCAUGUGUGCCUGUUCCAGUUGGAGCAAGAGGCUAUUACAGGAAGAUUAUCUUGAUCAAUAUGCAACAAGGAAGUCAACACCACAGACUGUCCCAGUAUCUUGCAGUAACGCUGCACAAAUCUGCAGAAGAGGUCUUGGCCAAGUCCAAACAGAUGUAUAUACAAGGACUUGGCCAAAGUUGUGUUAACUCAAUGUUGGUGGCCUGGAUCUGGGUAUAAAGAUAAUUGGCAUGAGGCCAUCUUUGGAAAGGAAAAUGUUGAAAAGUUGCUCCCCAUUUCAGGGGACAAGAUACAAAGCUACUGCAUAGCCCUGUUUAAAACAGGGUAUGCACCAGCCAAGUGUUAAAGAAUAAUGCCCCCAAAAGACUGACGCAGCAUCUUGCGGGAACGUCUCAAAAAUCUGCGGAGGAGGUCCUGGCCGAGUC
Long non-coding RNA from Orbicella faveolata, 787 nucleotides. The record is from RefSeq and is a predicted model, not a curated record. Lineage: Eukaryota; Metazoa; Cnidaria; Anthozoa; Scleractinia; Merulinidae.